RNAcentral lists this ribosomal RNA (366 nucleotides) under Serratia sp. ARE_PHE20_A. RNAcentral's name for it is "bacterial SSU rRNA". It matches the Rfam family "Bacterial small subunit ribosomal RNA", at positions 1013 to 1378 of the family's 1533-position model. Lineage: Bacteria; Pseudomonadati; Pseudomonadota; Gammaproteobacteria; Enterobacterales; Yersiniaceae. The record is from RNAcentral.
GGUGCCUUCGGGAACUGUGAGACAGGUGCUGCAUGGCUGUCGUCAGCUCGUGUUGUGAAAUGUUGGGUUAAGUCCCGCAACGAGCGCAACCCUUAUCCUUUGUUGCCAGCACGUAAUGGUGGGAACUCAAAGGAGACUGCCGGUGAUAAACCGGAGGAAGGUGGGGAUGACGUCAAGUCAUCAUGGCCCUUACGAGUAGGGCUACACACGUGCUACAAUGGCAUAUACAAAGAGAAGCGAACUCGCGAGAGCAAGCGGACCUCAUAAAGUAUGUCGUAGUCCGGAUCGGAGUCUGCAACUCGACUCCGUGAAGUCGGAAUCGCUAGUAAUCGUAGAUCAGAAUGCUACGGUGAAUACGUUCCCGGG